RNAcentral lists this ribosomal RNA (500 nucleotides) under uncultured bacterium. RNAcentral describes it as "partial 16S ribosomal RNA". It matches the Rfam family "Bacterial small subunit ribosomal RNA", at positions 30 to 523 of the family's 1533-position model. The record is from RNAcentral.
AUUGAACGCUGGCGGAAUGCUUUACACAUGCAAGUCGAACGGCAGCACGGACUUCGGUCUGGUGGCGAGUGGCGAACGGGUGAGUAAUGUAUCGGAACGUGCCCAGUCGUGGGGGAUAACGUAGUGAAAAUUACGCUAAUACCGCAUACGAUCUAUGGAUGAAAGCGGGGGAUCGCAAGACCUCGCGCGAUUGGAGCGGCCGAUAUCAGAUUAGGUAGUUGGUGGGGUAAAGGCCCACCAAGCCAACGAUCUGUAGCUGGUCUGAGAGGACGACCGGCAACACUGGAACUGAGACACGGUCCAGACUCCUACGGGAGGCAGCAGUGGGGAAUUUUGGACAAUGGGCGAAAGCCUGAUCCAGCCAUGCCGCGUGCAGGAUGAAGGCCCUCGGGUUGUAAACUGCUUUUGUACAGAACGAAAAGGUUUCUACUAAUACUAGGAGCUCAUGACGGUACUGUAAGAAUAAGCACCGGCUAACUACGUGCCAGCAGCCGCCGUAA